RNAcentral lists this ribosomal RNA (1527 nucleotides) under Azadinium cf. poporum HJ-2011. RNAcentral's name for it is "eukaryotic LSU rRNA". The stretch from base 586 to 1527 matches the Rfam family "Eukaryotic large subunit ribosomal RNA", at positions 1 to 841 of the family's 3401-position model. The record is from RNAcentral. Lineage: Eukaryota; Dinophyceae; Gonyaulacales; Amphidomataceae.
GUCGUAACAAGGUUUCCGUAGGUGAACCUGCGGAAGGAUCAUUCACACGAAUAUCCAAAUUGUCACGGCGCUUGAUGGAGAUAGGAAGGAUUCCCUCAAGGGAGGCCUUCUGAGCACGGCGCUCUACGCAUCCUUGCGGGUGUGUGGGGGGUUAUGCUCAUGCAGAACUCGCUUUUAUCAGGUUUGCAAACUUCUGUCAUUCCUCGUGAAUGGCUUUAACUUCACAACUUUCAGCGACGGAUGCCUCGGCUCGAACAACGAUGAAGGGCGCAGCGAAGUGUGAUAAACAUUGUAAAUUGCAGAAUUCCGCGAACCAACAGGACUUUGAACGCAUACUGCGCUUUCGGGAUAUGCCUGAAAGCAUGCCUGGUUCAGAGCCUCCAACUCCUUAUGCUCUUGGGCACUUUGUGUCGGAAGGGCGUCUUUGUACACCAGCACGCUUUGAUCGCUGCUGGCGUAUCGGAUGCAUCAGAGCUGGUGCCUCGUCAGUAAGCACGUUAAGCGCCUUGAGUGCAUUACUUUGCCUAUUGAUCUGUGGUACUGCUCUGGGACUUUGACCACUGCGAUGGUUUCAAACUUCGCACUCGGCAUGAACUCAGGUCAGGGAACCCGCUGAAUUUAAGCAUAUAAGUAAGCGGCGGAAAAGAAACUAAAUAGGAUUCCCUCAGUAAUGGCGAAUGAACAGGGAAGAGCUCAGCAUGGUAAUCGGGGCCCUAGGCCUUGAAUUGUAGUCUUUCGAGGUUUUUCCAACGGAGCCGCAGAUGUAAGCCUCUUGGAAAAGAGCAUCAUCGAGGGUGAGAGUCCUGUCUGCCAUCUGCAGUUCUCCGUGUACGGAUUGCCUUCUGCGAGUCACGUUCCUCGGGAUUGGAGCGCAAAGUGGGUGGUAAAUUUCAUCUAAAGCUAAAUAUCGGUUCGAGACCGAUAGGAAACAAGUACCAUGAGGGAAAGGUGAAAAGGACUUUGAAAAGAGAGUUAAAAGUGCCUGAAAUCGCUGAAAGGGAACCGUAUGGAACCAGUGCUACUUGGUGUGAUUGUUGCGUGCUAGGCCGACGGCUUGUUGCGUCAGCGCAAGCGUCGUUUCGGGUUCUGAGGCUCAUGUGCGCGGUGGUUCUCACCUUGUGUGUCAGCGUCAGUUCGGGAUUGAGGAAAACCGCUUUGGGACGGUACUUUACCCGCGGGUGAAGGAAUGCCCUUGGUCGGAACUCUUUAUCGGACUGUCCUCAGCGUGGGAAGCUCCUGCGGCGUGACCUUGUUUGCCAAGUGUUGGGGCCUUCGUGCCUCGGUGUUUGGUGGGCAAGUUUCGCGUUGUUGCCUUUCUUCCAAGACGUUGACGAAAUGGUUUCAUGCGACCCGUCUUGAAACACGGACCAAGGAGUCUAACGUAUGUGCGAGUCCAUGGGUGUAAACCUAGAGGCGUAAUGAAAGUAACUGCUGGGAUAUUUGCACCAGCAACCGACUGAUCAAUUGAGAGAGGUUUGAGUAUGAGCACAUCUGUUAGGACCCGAAAGAUGGUGAACUAUGCGUGAA